UGAAGUCGUAACAAGGUAGCCGUAGGAGAACCUGCGGCUGGAUCACCUCCUUUCUAAGGAAACAGACUGAAAGUCUGACGGAAACCUGCACACACGAAACUUUGUUUAGUUUUGAGGGGAUUACCCUCAAGCACCCUAGCGGGUGCGACUUUGUUCUUUGAAAACUGGAUAUCAUUGUUGUAAAUGUUUUAAAUUGCCGAGAACACAGCGUAUUUGUAUGAGUUUCUAAUAAUAGAAAUUCGCAUCGCAUAACCGCUGACGCAAGUCAGU
Molecule: unclassified non-coding RNA, 270 nt
Filed under: Lacticaseibacillus rhamnosus
Lineage: Bacteria; Bacillati; Bacillota; Bacilli; Lactobacillales; Lactobacillaceae
Description: partial contains 16S ribosomal RNA and 16S-23S ribosomal RNA intergenic spacer
Rfam family: Bacterial small subunit ribosomal RNA (bases 1-53)
Source: RNAcentral